UUGCGGUUAAAAAGCUCGUAGUUGGAUUUCUGUUGAGGACGGCCGGACCGCACUAUGUGCGUGUAUCUGGUUCGGCCUUGGCAUCCUCUUGAGGAACGUUCCUGCGCUUGAUUGCGUGGGGCGGUAUUCAAGACUUUUACUUUGAGGAAAUUAGAGUGUUCACGGCAGGCAAGCGCCUUGAAUACAUUAGCAUGGAAUAAUAAUAUAGGAUCUUGGUUCUAUUUGUUGGUUUCUAGGGCUAAGGUAAUGAUUAAUAGGGAUAAUUGGGGGCAUUUGUAUUAACGCGUCAGAGGUGGAAUUCUUGGAUUGCGUUACGACAAACUACUGCGAAAGCAUUUGCCAAGGAUGUUUUCAUUGAUCAAGAACGAAAGUAUGGGGAUCGAAGAUGAUUAGAUACCGUCGUAGUCUAUACCAUAAACUAUGCCGACUAGGGAUUGGAGGUCGUUCUUUUUAUGACUCCUUCAGCACCUUAUGAGAAAUCAAAGUCUCUGGGUUCCGGGGGGAGUAUAGUCGCAAGGCUGAAACUUAAAGGAAUUGACGGAAGGGCACCACCAGGAGUGGAGCCUGCGGCUUAAUUUGACUCAACACGGGGAAACUCACCAGGUCCAGACAUAGUAAGGAUUGACAGAUUGAUAGCUCU
RNAcentral lists this ribosomal RNA (640 nucleotides) under uncultured marine eukaryote. RNAcentral describes it as "SSU rRNA". It matches the Rfam family "Eukaryotic small subunit ribosomal RNA", at positions 613 to 1258 of the family's 1831-position model. The record is from RNAcentral.